This 541-nucleotide ribosomal RNA is filed under the name uncultured bacterium. RNAcentral's name for it is "bacterial SSU rRNA". It matches the Rfam family "Bacterial small subunit ribosomal RNA", at positions 968 to 1509 of the family's 1533-position model. The record is from RNAcentral.
CCUUAACCUGGCCUUGACAUACUAAGAACUUCCAGAGAUGGAUUGGUGCCUUCGGGAACUUAGAUACAGGUGCUGCAUGGCUGUCGUCAGCUCGUGUCGUGAGAUGGUUGGGUUAAGUCCCGCAACGAGCGCAACCCUUUUCCUUAUUGCCAGCGGGUUAAGCCGGGAACUUUAAGGAUACUGCCAGUGACAAACUGGAGGAAGGCGGGGACGACGUCAAGUCAUCAUGGCCCUUACGGCCAGGGCUACACACGUGCUACAAUGGUCGGUACAAAGGGUUGCUACCUCGCGAGAGGAUGCUAAUCUCAAAAAGCCGAUCGUAGUCCGGAUCGCAGUCUGCAACUCGACUGCGUGAAGUCGGAAUCGCUAGUAAUCGCGGAUCAGAAUGCCGCGGUGAAUACGUUCCCGGGCCUUGUACACACCGCCCGUCACACCAUGGGAGUUUGUUGCACCAGAAGUAGGUAGUCUAACCGCAAGGAGGACGCUUACCACGGUGUGGCCGAUGACUGGGGUGAAGUCGUAACAAGGUAAGCGUAGAUGA